RNAcentral lists this ribosomal RNA (497 nucleotides) under uncultured bacterium. Its description in RNAcentral is "partial 16S ribosomal RNA". It matches the Rfam family "Bacterial small subunit ribosomal RNA", at positions 28 to 507 of the family's 1533-position model. The record is from RNAcentral.
GAUGAACGCUGGCGGCGUGCCUAAUACAUGCAAGUCGAGCGAACGGACGAGAAGCUUGCUUCUCUGAUGUUAGCGGCGGACGGGUGAGUAACACGUGGAUAACCUACCUAUAAGACUGGGAUAACUUCGGGAAACCGUAGCUAAUACCGGAUAAUAUUUUGAACCGCAUGGUUCAAAAGUGAAAGACGGUCUUGCUGUCACUUAUAGAUGGAUCCGCGCUGCAUUAGCUAGUUGGUAAGGUAACGGCUUACCAAGGCAACGAUUCAUAGCCGACCUGAGAGGGUGAUCGGCCACACUGGAACUGAGACACGGUCCAGACUCCUACGGGAGGCAGCAGUAGGGAAUCUUCCGCAAUGGGCGAAAGCCUGACGGAGCAACGCCGCGUGAGUGAUGAAGGUCUUCGGAUCGUAAAACUCUGUUAUUAGGGAAGAACAUAUGUGUAAGUAACUGUGCACAUCUUGACGGUACCUAAUCAGAAAGCCACGGCUAACUACGUG